Molecule: ribosomal RNA, 536 nt
Filed under: uncultured bacterium
Lineage: Bacteria
Description: bacterial SSU rRNA
Rfam family: Bacterial small subunit ribosomal RNA
Source: RNAcentral
UGGGGAAUCUUGGACAAUGGGGGCAACCCUGAUCCAGCCAUGCCGCGUGAGUGAUGAAGGCCUUAGGGUCGUAAAGCUCUUUCGCCUGUGAAGAUAAUGACGGUAGCAGGUAAAGAAACCCCGCUAACUCCGUGCCAGCAGCCGCGGUAAUACGGAGGGGGUUAGCGUUGUUCGGAAUUACUGGGCGUAAAGCGCACGUAGGCGGACCAGAAAGUUGGGGGUGAAAUCCCGGGGGCUCAACCCCGGAACUGCCUCCAAAACUAUUGGUCUAGAGUUCGAGAGAGGUGAGUGGAAUUCCAAGUGUAGAGGUGAAAUUCGUAGAUAUUUGGAGGAACACCAGUGGCGAAGGCGGCUCACUGGCUCGAUACUGACGCUGAGGUGCGAAAGUGUGGGGAGCAAACAGGAUUAGAUACCCUGGUAGUCCACACCGUAAAACGAUGAAUGCCAGUCGUCGGGUAGCAUGCUAUUCGGUGACACACCUAACGGAUUAAGCAUUCCGCCUGGGGAGUACGGUCGCAAGAUUAAAACCUCAAAGG